This 64-nucleotide transfer RNA is filed under the name Scolytus seulensis. RNAcentral's name for it is "tRNA-Trp". Lineage: Eukaryota; Metazoa; Arthropoda; Insecta; Coleoptera; Curculionidae. The record is from RNAcentral.
AAGAAUUUAAGUUAACAAAACUAUUGACCUUCAAAGUCAAAUUUAAGAUAUAUCUUAAUUCUUA